This 423-nucleotide ribosomal RNA is filed under the name uncultured bacterium. Its description in RNAcentral is "bacterial SSU rRNA". It matches the Rfam family "Bacterial small subunit ribosomal RNA", at positions 30 to 452 of the family's 1533-position model. The record is from RNAcentral.
AUUGAACGCUGGCGGCGUGCUUAACACAUGCAAGUCGUGCGGUAACAGGCGUAGCAAUACGUGCUGACGAGCGGCGAACGGGUGCGUAAUACAUGGGAAUCUGCCUUUUAGUGGGGAAUAACCCGGCGAAAGCCGGGCUAAUGCCGCAUAAGAUCUUCGGAUGAAAGCGGGGGAUCGUAAGACCUCGCGCUGAUAGAUGAGCCCAUGCCGGAUUAGCAGUUGGUGAGGUAACGGCUCACCAAGGCGACGAUCCGUAGCUGGUCUGAGAGGACGGCCAGCCACACUGGGACUGAGACACGGCCCAGACUCCUACGGGAGGCAGCAGUGGGGAAUAUUGGACAAUGGGGGAAACCCUGAUCCAGCGACGCCGCGUGUGUGAAGAAGGCCUGCGGGUUGUAAAGCACUUUCGGUGGGAACGAAAUA